GCUAGGAUGAACGCUGGCGGCGUGCCUAAUACAUGCAAGUCGAACGAGGCGGAAGGGAGCUUGCUCCUGGAUGCCUAGUGGCGAACGGGUGAGUAACACGUAGGUAACCUGCCCUUAAGCUUGGGAUACCCAGAGGAAACUUUGGCUAAUACCGGAUAACAACAGAGGAGGCAUCUCCUUUGCUUGAAAGGCCCUUCACGGGGUCACUUAAGGAUGGACCUGCGGCGCAUUAGCUAGUUGGUGAGAUAAAGCCCACCAAGGCGAGGAUGCGUAGCCGACCUGAGAGGGUGAUCGGCCACAUUGGAACUGAGACACGGUCCAAACUCCUACGGGAGGCAGCAGUAAGGAGUUUUCGGCAAUGGGGGAAACCCUGACCGAGCAACGCCGCGUGAGUGAUGAACCGGCCCUAUGGGUUGUAAAGCUCUGUUGUAAGGGACGAAUGAUUCGCUUAGGAAAUGAAGCGAGUUUGACGGUACCUUACCAGAAAGCCACGGCUAACUACGUGCCAGCAGCAGC
This 516-nucleotide ribosomal RNA is filed under the name uncultured bacterium. Its description in RNAcentral is "bacterial SSU rRNA". It matches the Rfam family "Bacterial small subunit ribosomal RNA", at positions 26 to 518 of the family's 1533-position model. The record is from RNAcentral.